Molecule: ribosomal RNA, 722 nt
Filed under: uncultured bacterium
Lineage: Bacteria
Description: bacterial SSU rRNA
Rfam family: Bacterial small subunit ribosomal RNA
Source: RNAcentral
AACAGGAUUNNAUACCCUGGUAGACCACGCAGUAAACGAUGAAUACUAAUUGUUCGGGGGGCAACCCCUGAGUGAUACAGCGAAAGCGUUAAGUAUUCCACCUGGGGAGUACGCCGGCAACGGUGAAACUCAAAGGAAUUGACGGGGGCCCGCACAAGCGGAGGAACAUGUGGUUUAAUUCGAUGAUACGCGAGGAACCUUACCCGGGCUCAAACGUUGGGGGAAUGCUCCUGAAAGGGAGCAGCCAGCAAUGGUCGCCAACGAGGUGCUGCAUGGUUGUCGUCAGCUCGUGCCGUGAGGUGUCGGCUUAAGUGCCAUAACGAGCGCAACCCCUGCGUCCAGUUACCAUCAAGUCAUGUUGGGGACUCUGGACGGACUGCCGGCGCAAGCCGUGAGGAAGGCGGGGACGACGUCAAAUCAGCACGGCCCUUACGUCCGGGGCGACACACGUGUUACAAUGGCGUGGAACAGCGGGAAGCCACCUGGCGACAGGGAGCGGACCCCUAAAACACGUCUCAGUUCGGAUUGGAGUCUGCAACUCGACUCCAUGAAGCUGGAUUCGCUAGUAAUCGCGCAUCAGCCAUGGCGCGGUGAAUACGUUCCCGGGCCUUGUACACACCGCCCGUCAAGCCAUGGGAGCCGGGAGUGCCUGAAGUACGUAACCGGAAGGAGCGUCCAAGGGUAACACUGGUGACUGGGGCUAAGUCGUAACAAGGUAACCA